GUGGGGAAUUUUGGACAAUGGGCGAAAGCCUGAUCCAGCCAUGCCGCGUGUGUGAAGAAGGCCUUUUGGUUGUAAAGCACUUUAAGCGAGGAGGAGGCUACCGAGAUUAAUACUCUUGGAUAGUGGACGUUACUCGCAGAAUAAGCACCGGCUAACUCUGUGCCAGCAGCCGCGGUAAUACAGAGGGUGCAAGCGUUAAUCGGAUUUACUGGGCGUAAAGCGCGCGUAGGUGGCCAAUUAAGUCAAAUGUGAAAUCCCCGAGCUUAACUUGGGAAUUGCAUUCGAUACUGGUUGGCUAGAGUAUGGGAGAGGAUGGUAGAAUUCCAGGUGUAGCGGUGAAAUGCGUAGAGAUCUGGAGGAAUACCGAUGGCGAAGGCAGCCAUCUGGCCUAAUACUGACACUGAGGUGCGAAAGCAUGGGGAGCAAACAGGAUUAGAUACCCGUGUAGUCC
Molecule: ribosomal RNA, 451 nt
Filed under: uncultured bacterium
Lineage: Bacteria
Description: partial 16S ribosomal RNA
Rfam family: Bacterial small subunit ribosomal RNA
Source: RNAcentral